GAGCUUUGGGGGGCGGGGCCUUGGCUCUGCUCCCGCUGAGCGCCGCCCGCAGGCUGGAUCCCCUGUACGCGAGCGCGCGCGCGCUCUGGCUGCUAGUGGCAAUGGCUGCACUGGGCUUGCUAGUCCACUUCCUCCCUGGCACACUACGGGCUGCGCUCUUCAGAUGGCUCCAGGUGCUCCUGCCGAUGGCCUGAGGCGAAGGACCUCCAAGUCAGCAGAACUGGAGAUCUUCGAACUAAACGCUGGGGCGCCCACCUCCGAAUCCCAAUUUCUAAUUAAAGUUUCCACGAAG
RNAcentral lists this long non-coding RNA (292 nucleotides) under Rattus norvegicus (Norway rat). Its description in RNAcentral is "long non-coding RNA NONRATT005389". The record is from RNAcentral. Lineage: Eukaryota; Metazoa; Chordata; Mammalia; Rodentia; Muridae.